This is a non-coding RNA of Podarcis lilfordi (Lilford's wall lizard), 5345 nucleotides long. Lineage: Eukaryota; Metazoa; Chordata; Lepidosauria; Squamata; Lacertidae. The record is from the annotation of a GenBank genome assembly.
UAAUCAGGAAAACCAACCCAAUAUUCCCCAUGUCUGAAAGCAUCCAUAGCAGUCUUUUCCAUGUUAUUGCAAAUGGCUUUUUUUCCGGAAGCAAAUAACAUGGAAAUGUGCUAUACAGUGGUACCUCGGGUUACAUACGCUUCAGGUUACAUACUCCGCUAACCCAGAAAUAGUGCUUCAGGUUAAGAACUUUGCUUCAGGAUGAGAACAGAAAUGGUGCUCCGGCGGCGUGGCGGCAGCAGGAGGCCCCAUUAGCUAAAGUGGUGCUUCAGGUUAAGAACAGUUUCAGGUUAAGUACCGACCUCCGGAACGAAUUAAGUACUUAACCCGAGGUACCACUGUACUCCACUGUAUUUCCAGAAGCAGCUUUUCAAUCAUGUAAAAACUCAAAUUCAAUGCAGAAAUUAACUGCUAGGGAAAUGUUGGGUAAAUGGAAUAAACUGUUGUGAGGCUGCAACCCAGGUGAGUGCCUGUUAACUUCACAGCUUCCUUGCACUUUGAAAGGAGGUAGCAGAAGCCCCUGUGAUGAUGAUUUGAGUGAUGCGGCAGCAUUCCCAUGCAUGGUAUGGAAAAAGAUGGUUUCCUGCAUGGGUCCUGACUAAUAUUCUGCAAGGAAAAAUGUACUGUGAGUUACCACUGUAUUGUUACCAUAGUGCCAUUUAAGAUGGCAGAUUGGGGCUUAUAUGAUUCAAUACUUCUUCAUACCCACCCCCCUCAAAAAAGAGAUUUCUGUGUGUACAAAAUUGGAUGUCAGUGAAAAGGGUACUUAUGUGGUCUUUUAUCUGACAUACUAGUUUUCUAUGUGGAGGGAGGUUAUUUUGAUUCUGUUUUGUAUGAGGGAAGACUACAAUCAUGUGCGCUGUAACCUGUAAUCUGAAGUGUUAUAGUCCAGAGAUAGGUUCACCACCUUGCCUUUUGUUUAUGGGGACUAAGCUUCAGUAAGAGGCCUCAUUGCAAACACAAUUUUAUUUGAGCUUUUAUAUCAAGAGUGGCCGGGGUGCGGGGAUGACUCAGUAAUACUAAGUGGUGCCAUAAAUCUUGCUGAUGUUGCCAAGUUAAUAGCAAGACUGUAGUCUCCAACCUGUAUCGAGAUGGGUUCAGAUACUGAUUUGCCAUCAGAUCUUUCAAGUCUGACUCACGCAGGAAGUUCUAUUAUAGUGAAUGUCAAAACCUGAGCUACUGAGAAUUUCUCACGGCAUAAUAGCAAUGCAGGAACUUGAUCUGGAUGACAAAUGAAAAUUGUAGUUUGUGAUCUCAUACAAGUUCUAUGCUGUUAUCUGUAAACUUUUCCUGGAAACUUCACUCAUAUGCCAGAGGAGGUAUCAUAGAAGCAGAAUGCAGGUUGCUAGAAGUCUCUGCACAAAAACAACAUGGUCUCCCCCAUUGUUUCUUCCAGUCCCAUGAUGUUGAUAUAGGAUGAGUUAGGACUGUCCUCAGCAUGGCUGCUGAUCAGUCAUCUAGGCAUUGCACAUGCCACCGGAGAUGGUUCUCCCUUUAUGUGGAGUGGCUGCCUCAGGUGGCAGAUCCUGGGGUGAUAGGCUGACAACUUGUGCACUGCCAAAAAGGGGGGAAAAUUCAUCACAGAAACAGAGGACACAGUUUUGCAUAAAAUAUACAUAUGUUUGUGUGUGUGUGUGUGUGUGUGUGUGUGUAAAUUCAAAUUUACAAAUAAUUACUGCAAUUUCAGUAAGAUUAAAAAUUAAGAUCUCCAGGCUGCUCAGCUUCUGUGGAAUGGAGACACCAUCUUCUCUUUUGCCUCAGGCAGCAAAAUAUCUCGCAACUCACAGGGAUGAGUAUCCCUCAUGUUGAAUUGCCCAUUUAGAGAACCUACCAUGUAACUUAAGGCCAUCAUGCCACACUUCCCUACCCUUUGCCAGAUGGUGAAUGCCAUGGAAUUGGACUGCAGGUGAAGAAAUCCACAUGAUGGGCUUGCCUUGUGCAGUGAGAUAUGACUGGGGUUGGUGGAGAAUCAGCCAGUCUCUGUUGUGGAUGUAACAGCUAGAUUUGUUUUCAACCAUGGUAGUGGAAUGUAUCAUAGCAAAAAAUAUCACCCAGCAGCCUGCUGCAGCAUUGUGACCAUAUAUUAUUGUUGUUAAAAUAGAAAAUAAUUUAAAAAUACACAAUAAUUUAAAAACACAACAAAGCAAUCCAAUUAAAAUAAAGAUACUCAUGAUCAAAUAUGUAGUAAAACAAUCCUGUUAAAACAGCACAGCAAGUAAAGCAGGAAGCUUGGGACAAGAGAGCAAAUCAAUGCCUAUGUAAACAGGUGUGUCUUCAAAAGGCAGUGGAAUGCCAAUAUAGAUGGGCGCCUCUUUUUCAGCAGGGAGUGUAUUCCACAUUACCAGUGUCACCAGUGAAAAUGCCUCUGCACUACCACAAUUAUAACUGGCAUAUUUCAAGUAUAAUAGUAAACAGCUAACUGCAAGACCACAGCUGCAUUCUUGGUGGCUGCUCCCAGACUUUGGAACUCCCUCCAUAGAGAAGUUGACUGGCUCUGUCCUUGUUAUUCUUCUGGGGGCAGGUGAAGACCUAUUAUUCCAAUAGGCUUUGGGGAAGUUUUAAUGAAGGAUCUGGUACUGUGCUGUUUUUAUUGUAAUUUUCCAUAUGUUUUAAAUAAUAUAUAUAAUGUUUAAUUGUUUUUUAACAAUUGUGGUUAGCUGUUCUUAUUUUAUUUGUAAGCUGCUUUGAGUAUCUGUCAGGGGGAAAGGUGGGGUAUUAUUAUUUUUAUUGUUAUUAUUAUUAUUUCUCAUUCAGCAACCAUCACAUCUCAAAUGAGUCAACAUAUUUCAAAAUAGAAGGAAGAUCUAUUGUUACUACACACAGAAAGCACAUGUAUCAAAAAUUUACAAACUCAAGGGACAGAUAAUGUAUGUCAGACAAAGCUUAUUUACUUCUUUCAAGAUUCCCAUUUUACCUUUUAUAUAAAGGAAACAUUCUUAUAUAUGCUUAACUGCCAGAGUAUUAUUCACACAUGUGUUUAUACUUGGUGUGGUGUGGAGGUUCUUCCUCAUUGUAGGAGAAACCCACAUAAUGCUAAAACAUAAAACACCAGUCUUUGUGCGACAACAGUCACUAUGGCUGUACUUGAAAUUCUGCAUUGUUCCAAAUCUCUCCCAAACACCUACAAAAAACCUUCAAUAUCUCAAACACAACUAUGUUCUGGGAAUAAAUCCCUAUUUUUUCCGAAGAAGAAUUUUUGCCUUAACGUGAAGGCCCAUUAUAAAAACAAAAACUUUUGAAACUUUAAAGUUGGACUUUCUGCAUUUUAGUGAAAAUUACUUCCUUUCCCCUUUCUUUCCAUGUGGGGCGGCCCUGCUCUCUGCCUGCCUCUCAGAGUGGGCAGCGCAUAGCGGCUGCUUGUGGAGGAGAAUAGGCAGCAACUGACAAUGCCCAGCCCCAUGUAACAGACUGCAGCCUCUCCUCCUCCUUGCCCUCAAGAUCUCUGGCAGCCGCUACAUGCUGCCCGAAGGCUGGCAGUGGCAGCCAUGGAGAGGCAAUGGGAUGCUUCCUUGCAGCAGUUGCCACUGCCACUUGGGAUAAGCGCCGGCUCACCCUCCUCCCUGAGCUUGACGGCAGCAGCACUGGCGGUGGAAAGAGGGACAUUCUGGGAUUAAGUCAGAAGCUGGGAUGGCUUUCAUAAUUCUGGGACGGUCCCUGGAAAAUCGGGACACCUGGGGGUAUGUAUCCCUCUUUUGUCAUCUUCCGUACUGAGAGGGGCAUUCCUGAAAGACAGCCUAUAAAUACGACUACCACCAAUAGCAUUUGGAUCACAAGCUCCUCGGGCCAGAAUCUCUCUCUUUUGCUUAUGUCACUCAUAAAGCUCUAUGUACACCAACGACACUAAGUAAAUGUAAUAAAUAAUGUAGAGCCCUGUGAAUGCUUGAAUGAAUCAAUCCCAUUGAAAUGUAGCAAGAUGGUUUUGGCAGCAGAUGGGCCCUGUGCGCUGGACUGUAGUGUAUGUGCAAAUCGACUAGGAUAGCCCUAAUUUCCCGCCCUUCCUUCUUGGGCUUGUUGUCAUGGUGACCUGCUGGGAUGGCUGAACCAGGAAUUUUCAGUUCCGUUCCUUUCCUUCUAGGACCUUAACUACCCUUCACUUUGCUUCUGUCUCUGUGUGUUUUGCUUAUAGCUUCCUUGCUCCAGGUAUGUGUUGUAACCAUUGCUCUGCCACUCUAACCAAACCCGAAGCUCAAGACAAUGGCAAUUGAAAUUCCUAGCCCAGGAUGCUCCUCUGACCAGUGGGUUUACCAUCAUUAUCUUUUCUAUGAAGAACAUAUAUCUAUUGCUGUCUUUCUCAUCUUCUGGCUCUAAUCAGACCAGCUCUGAUGGUGGGUCCUGACAGAAACAUUUCUGUCUAUUAGAAAUAUAAGAUUUGUGUUUAUAAACAGCAUUUCCACAUCUUCUCCCGAAUGUGUGCAUCUUUCUUGCAAUACUAGGAUUAGUUUGUACUGUCUAAUGUAGGAAUCUGCCUUGGCUUGUUUCUCUGGAUGAAGAUAAGAAUUGUCUUGCCAAAACACUAGAAAUUCCAUUUCUCAUGCCUUGGUGAUGCUGAUCAAGAAAACUGGUUAUCUGUUGAUUCAUCUUUUUUCUUUUUAUGCUAUUUAAUACAUACAUGAAUUUCUAUCAUUCAUGACUAACGUGCAUUAAUUGCACAUGGUGUAUUCAAAAUAUCUACAAUGUCUAGUGUUGCCAUAUUUCUGUACCAUAGAUAUAGAGCCUGGGGUUAAUAAAUCCAGAUAAUGCCGGACACAGUUUCAUCGUUUAGCAGUUUAGACAUGAAAUCUUGUGCCUGUCUACUCAGCUGCAAGCCCCACUGAAUUUGAUGGGGCUUACUUUGUGUAGUAAUAAUAAUAAUAAUAUUUUUAUUUUUUAAAAUUUAUAUCCCACCCAUCUUGCUGGGUUUCCCAGCCACUCUGGCCGGCUUACAACAUAUAUAAAAACACAACAAGCAUCAAACAUUAAAAAAAAGAUAUCCUAUAUGAGAGAGAAACCAACCAACCAACCAACCAGCCAACCAGCCAACCAACCAACCAACCAACCAGUAAAUCAAUAGAAACCAAUAACAACAAUUAUAGCAACAAUAAUAAACAGUUUACAGUUAUACCCAAAUUAAAAUAACCGCCAACCCCAACUAAACAGUUAACCAACAGCAACCUGACAAAAACAAAACAGAGAAACCAACAUUAGAACCCUUUAAAACAUUUUAAAACAUUUUAGCCAAUUGCCCCAACCCAAGAGUUGUUCCAGCAAUGUCCCUCUGGCCUCCCAGAAGCCUCUUUUAGGAUGGACACAAAGUGGCUUCAAAUCAGUGUGAAGGUAAGUACAUAUAUGCAUCCAUGAAUACAAGG